CAAUAGCGUAUAUUUAAGUUGUUGCAGUUAAAAAGCUCGUAGUUGGAUUUCGGUUGAGAACGGCCGGUCCGCCGCUUGGUGUGCACUGGCUGGUUUCAACUUCCUGUAGAGGACGCGCUCUGGCUUCACGGCUGGACGCGGAGUCUACGUGGUUACUUUGAAAAAAUUAGAGUGUUCAAAGCGGGCUUACGCUUGAAUAUUUCAGCAUGGAAUAACACUAUAGGACUCCUGUCCUAUUUCGUUGGUCUCGGGACGGGAGUAAUGAUUAAGAGGAACAGUUGGGGGCAUUCGUAUUUCAUUGUCAGAGGUGAAAUUCUUGGAUUUAUGAAAGACGAACUUCUGCGAAAGCAUUUGCCAAGGAUGUUUUCAUUAA
Molecule: ribosomal RNA, 373 nt
Filed under: uncultured eukaryote
Lineage: Eukaryota
Description: partial 18S ribosomal RNA
Rfam family: Eukaryotic small subunit ribosomal RNA
Source: RNAcentral